Solenopsis invicta (red fire ant) is the source of this 161-nucleotide long non-coding RNA. RefSeq lists it as uncharacterized. The record is from RefSeq and is a predicted model, not a curated record. The transcript is spliced from 2 exons. NCBI's taxonomy places the organism in Eukaryota, Metazoa, Arthropoda, Insecta, Hymenoptera, Formicidae.
UGGACUCGAAAUCGUGACCUGCUAUUUAUAAUGCUCACACGGAGCUAUCACUUAUGUGAAACACUUAGGUGGCAAAACUUAUCAUGAAAUGACGGUUAUUAUUUUGAAACAUACCAUUAGUAAUUUUCUUUCUACCCUAUACUGUUGGAAUGGAAGAGGUG